RNAcentral lists this transfer RNA (69 nucleotides) under Ovis aries (sheep). It matches the Rfam family "tRNA". Rfam says of the family: Transfer RNA (tRNA) molecules are approximately 80 nucleotides in length. Their secondary structure includes four short double-helical elements and three loops (D, anti-codon, and T loops). Further hydrogen bonds mediate the characteristic L-shaped molecular structure. tRNAs have two regions of fundamental functional importance: the anti-codon, which is responsible for specific mRNA codon recognition, and the 3' end, to which the tRNAs corresponding amino acid is attached (by aminoacyl-tRNA synthetases). tRNAs cope with the degeneracy of the genetic code in two manners: having more than one tRNA (with a specific anti-codon) for a particular amino acid; and 'wobble' base-pairing, i.e. permitting non-standard base-pairing at the 3rd anti-codon position. Lineage: Eukaryota; Metazoa; Chordata; Mammalia; Artiodactyla; Bovidae. The record is from Rfam by way of RNAcentral.
CCUGGUGGCUAAGCUGGUAAAGAAUCUGCCUACAACGCAGAAGACCCAGGUUCAGUCCCUGGGUCAGGA